Tursiops truncatus (common bottlenose dolphin) is the source of this 107-nucleotide small nuclear RNA. Lineage: Eukaryota; Metazoa; Chordata; Mammalia; Artiodactyla; Delphinidae. The record is from Ensembl.
AUGCUCAAUUUCAGAGCACAUACAUUAAAGGUAGAAUAACACAGGACAGAUUAGCAUGGCCCCUGCACAUGAAUGACAUGCAAAUUUGUGACGUGUUCUAUAUUUUA